This 270-nucleotide long non-coding RNA is filed under the name Callithrix jacchus (white-tufted-ear marmoset). RNAcentral's name for it is "lncRNA (ENSCJAG00000079737.1)". Lineage: Eukaryota; Metazoa; Chordata; Mammalia; Primates; Cebidae. The record is from RNAcentral.
GCCUGGGUGCCUGCAUCACUGCAUGGAGCAGAGCCCUCUCACUCCACCGCUGGUGCCCCCUAAUGGGCUACUAGGCCUCUUUCCUUUUAUCCUGGGGCAUCUUCACAAGUGCUGACCCGGGGAAUGGGGAAUAUCCUUGCCAUGAGCCAUUGGAUGCUGUCAGAAAGAGAAGAGAUCUACCCAGGGAUCACCUUUCUGGAGAAGCAUAAAAGGAGAAAACCCCCUCCAGGCUCUCCGUGAGGGCAAGGAAGCAGGGGGAUCAAUGAGGAC